CCUCAAGGGUCGCGAAGGCCUUUUUCAUCUCUGCCAACCAGUACUCAGCUUCUUUAAAAGUGGAUACCCUUGUAAAAGUAGUUGGAUUAAGUCUCUUGUACCUUUCGAUAUAGCCUGGGUCCAUCAUGGGUGGAGCUGGACCCCGCUGAAAGGGAACUGAAUUAUGCUGGAGAUUUACUGAAUGACCUUGUGGUGACACUGGGUUGUACGGUGGA
This 215-nucleotide long non-coding RNA is filed under the name Carica papaya (papaya). RNAcentral's name for it is "long non-coding RNA (CPAP_LNC012834)". Lineage: Eukaryota; Viridiplantae; Streptophyta; Magnoliopsida; Brassicales; Caricaceae. The record is from RNAcentral.